GAACUUAAGCAUAUCAAUAAGCGGAGGAAAAGAAACCAACAGGGAUUGCCCCAGUAACGGCGAGUGAAGCGGCAACAGCUCAAAUUUGAAAUCUGGCCCCUCCGGGUCCGAGUUGUAAUUUGUAGAGGAUGCUUUUGGUGAGGUGCCGCCCGAGUUCCCUGGAACGGGACGCCACAGAGGGUGAGAGCCCCGUCUGGCUGGCCACCGAGCCUCUGUAAAGCUCCUUCGACGAGUCGAGUAGUUUGGGAAUGCUGCUCAAAAUGGGAGGUAUAUGUCUUCUAAAGCUAAAUAUUGGCCAGAGACCGAUAGCGCACAAGUAGAGUGAUCGAAAGAUGAAAAGCACCUUGAAAAGAGGGUUAAACAGUACGUGAAAUUGUUGAAAGGGAAGCGCUUGUGACCAGACUUGGGCGCGGCGGAUCAUCCGGGGUUCUCUCCGGUGCACUUCGCCGCGUUCAGGCCAGCAUCAGUUCGUCGCGGGGGAAAAAGGCUUCGGGAACGUGGCUCCUCCGGGAGUGUUAUAGCCCGUUGCAUAAUACCCUGCGGUGGACUGAGGACCGCGCAUCUGCAAGGAUGCUGGCGUAAUGGUCACCAGCGACCCGUCUUGAAACACGGACCAAGGAGUCGUCUUCGUAUGCGAGUGUUCGGGUGUCAAACCCCUACGCGUAAUGAAAGUGAACGCAGGUGAGAGCUUCGGCGCAUCAUCGACCGAUCCUGAUGUUCUCGGAUGGAUUUGAGUAAGAGCAUACGGGGCCGGACCCGAAA
This 762-nucleotide ribosomal RNA is filed under the name uncultured fungus. RNAcentral describes it as "eukaryotic LSU rRNA". It matches the Rfam family "Eukaryotic large subunit ribosomal RNA", at positions 30 to 821 of the family's 3401-position model. Lineage: Eukaryota; Fungi. The record is from RNAcentral.